GGUCUAUUAAAAGAGACAUCUCCAAGCUAUCGUCACAUUACGCAAUCUAUUCACUGAUGAUACGAUAUCGGUACAUAUCCUUUGUUACUAUAAGAGAAAUUGUUCGAAAUAGCAGGCUAGAGAGAUAUAACAUCAAAGAUUAUUUUCCACCUGAACGACAAACUGACAAGUAUUUUUCACUAAAAUAAAGUGCUUGACAAAGAUAA
This is a long non-coding RNA of Bombus pascuorum, 206 nucleotides long. RefSeq lists it as uncharacterized. Lineage: Eukaryota; Metazoa; Arthropoda; Insecta; Hymenoptera; Apidae. The transcript is spliced from 2 exons. The record is from RefSeq and is a predicted model, not a curated record.